GCUGUGGGGAACUUAAAAACGGAGCAUUUAUAUUUGUAGACGAGGACACUGCGCUGGAGAGGUCACUAAUGGCCACAUCUGAAUUUUAACUCCAGAUCUUGUGGGCUCUAAUUCUGUUGGACUUUGUUUUUCACUUUUAAAAAGCUGGCCACUAAAGUCAAAGGCAUUUUAAUCCUAUCUCAGACAACUGUUUUGCCCUUAAGGAGAAGUUCUGGAGGCUUAAGCAAAUGUUACCCCUCUUACUUAAAGAAUGUGAUUAAAAUAAUUUAUCUUUCUGAUAACUGGUCCAGCUUUUGAACUUAGUUUAUGUGUGCUUGGGAAAGGAGUCUUCAUCUCUGGCACUGAGAGGAAAGAUGGAAGUAAUGGAAACAUUGGGUA
Molecule: long non-coding RNA, 378 nt
Organism: Pipistrellus kuhlii (Kuhl's pipistrelle)
Lineage: Eukaryota; Metazoa; Chordata; Mammalia; Chiroptera; Vespertilionidae
Exons: 2
Source: RefSeq, a predicted model, not a curated record